Non-coding RNA from Triticum urartu, 1767 nucleotides. Lineage: Eukaryota; Viridiplantae; Streptophyta; Magnoliopsida; Poales; Poaceae. The record is from RefSeq and is a predicted model, not a curated record.
UUGGCCUCACCGCCCACGUCGACGGCUCGCCGGCCCAGGCGACUUCCUACUGGGUUCUCAUUGACUUCGCCGUCCUCUCUUGGUACAACGCCAUCGUGACUCCGUCGACGUUGGAGAUCGUCGUCGAUCGCAAGGAUACAUCGUAUUCCCUCUGGCGCUCGCUUCGCUCUCUCUUCCGUAGCAACUGCGACGCCCGGAUCACCUACCUCCUCGACGAGUUCCACAACUUUACCCAAGGCGAUCUCUUCGUCGUCGACUACACCUCCCGGCUUAAGACCAUGGCUGACACCCUCCAGGAUCUUGGCCACUGCCUCAAGGACCGCAAGCUCGUUCACAACGUGCUCCGCAGCCUCGACAAGCGUCUCCAACACGUCGUCCCGCACAUGACCCGCGGCCGUCGCCCCUCCUUCACCAAAAGUUCUGGGCGACUGGCCAUACAAUACUUCAAACAGUGAUUUCCAUUGAAGCGCUGAAUGAGGGCUGGUGUUUAUACCAAAACUCAGCAAGAGACAACCAUUGAGCCCGCUUAACUGGACAUGCAUGAAUAAAACAACGCAAAUAGGCCUCCAGGCAUUCAGUGACUCUUGGACUGACCAUCAGUUUGGGGAUGAUGAGAAGAACUCAUGCGUAGCUUUGGUCCGUGUGAGUGCUGCCAUUUUCUUCCAAAACCGGCUGGAAAGAUAAGGUCUUGAUCUAUCACAAUUGACUCAGUUAAGUGGGCCACAACCAGAACACAGUUGAAACGUCCAGAGCGAGGCAACACUUCUCCAAAAUCCAUUGUGAGCAUUUGCCAAAACUUGCAGGGAACAAGCAAAGGCUCUGAAAGUCCUGGAUAGCAAGUUCGAUCAGGUUUGGCUCACUGACAAACCAUACACUCUUGAACAUACUUUUUCACCCAAGCCCUCAUGUGCUUCCAGUAAAAAAGUUACUUCAGACGGUGAAGAGUAACUGGAAUGCCAGAGUGGCCCCCAAUAGGACUGGUAUGAAAGGCAUCCAACAAUUUGGGGACCAGGUUCAUGUCAGGAGGAAGCCAGGUACGAUCUUUACAACGGAUCAAACCAUCCCUGAGAGAAAAAUGAUCGUCUUCAGAAAUUUGCACUGCUAAUUUGACUAGUAAUUCCUGAGCUUCAAUAUUUUCUUGGUAGACAUCUAAGAUCUCUUGUAUCCAAGCAGGUUGGUGAGGAGAUAUAGCCAGUAACUGAUCAUCAAGAUGAGCUCGAAUGUAUUUCCUGUGGUUACACAUGGUUUUCGUCAAGAGAUGCCAUCUCAUCGCUGACGGUCGAUACUCCAAGUUCUGGUGGGAAUGUAGGCACCGCUCCCUGGGCAACAGCAAAGUUUGAUGUCCUUCAGAAGCAGCUGGUGAGCCCUCGGGAUCAGCCAGACAAUAAGGCAAGUGCUGAUGCUCUCCAGAAGAACACGGUGGCAUCCAUUCCUAAACUUGAGAGGCAGAAAUCAUUCAUCAAACCGAAGCUAGAGGAGCCCUCUGCACCCACACUGGAGAAACAGAAGGCGUUCACCAAGCUAAAGCCGGAGGAACCCUCUGCACCCACACUGGAGAAACAGAAGGCGUUCACCAAGCCAAAGCCGGAGGAACCCUCUGCACCUUCGGCUAGUCAUUAGUGAAUGAUCAUGGGCGUUGCAAUGUUUCAGAGAUUGUACACCGGCAGCUCCUAAACAUUCAGUAGAAGCAUGAAUAGGAUGACAACACUUUCUUGUAGUCUAUCGUUAAAAAUUUCGUUAAAACUAGUUUCAUACUUCCACAAGCUA